GUAGGUGGCAAGCGCUGUCCGGAAUUAUUGGGGCGUAAAGCGCGCGCAGGCGGUUCUUUAAGUCUGAUGUGAAAGCCCACGGGCUCAACCGUGGAGGGUCAUUGGAAACUGGAGAACUUGAGUACAGAAGAGGAAAGCGGAAUUCCACGUGUAGCGGUGAAAUGCGUAGAGAUGUGGAGGAACACCAGUGGCGAAGGCGGCUUUCUGGUCUGUAACUGGACGCUGAGGCGCGAAAGCGUGGGGAGCAACCAGGAUUAGAUACCCUGGUAGUCCACGCCGUAAACGAUGAGUGCUAAGUGUUAGGGGGUUUCCGCCCCUUAGUGCUGCAGCUAACGCAUUAAGCACUCCGCCUGGGGAGUACGGCCGCAAAGGCUG
Molecule: ribosomal RNA, 375 nt
Filed under: uncultured organism
Description: partial 16S ribosomal RNA
Rfam family: Bacterial small subunit ribosomal RNA
Source: RNAcentral